GUGACUGUGAGGUACUUUCCUUGAUUUUAAAGCUUGCUUUCCAGGAGCUGGAAGCUACGAUGGAGCAGAAGGGGGUCUGGAUACUUUCACUCAUUUUAAUUUUAGGACUUGGUGCAUUGGCCGAUGACAAGAAAGCUCCACCGGAAUGCCGAUGUCACAUUGAUCCCAAAGCAAGAGUUAACUGUGGACCUCCUGGAAUCACUCCCCAGCAAUGCCGGGAUGCUGGGUGCUGCUUCAGUUCUGAAGUUGCAGGAGUCCCCUGGUGCUUUGCUCCAAGCCCCCCAAA
Long non-coding RNA from Lacerta agilis (Sand lizard), 286 nucleotides. RefSeq lists it as uncharacterized. The transcript has 2 exons. The record is from RefSeq and is a predicted model, not a curated record. Lineage: Eukaryota; Metazoa; Chordata; Lepidosauria; Squamata; Lacertidae.